Molecule: non-coding RNA, 263 nt
Organism: Alkalibacter saccharofermentans DSM 14828
Lineage: Bacteria; Bacillati; Bacillota; Clostridia; Eubacteriales; Eubacteriaceae
Source: Rfam
UCGUGCUAGAUGGGGAGUUAGCGGUGCCCUGUACCUGCAAUCCGCUGUAGCAGGAUCGAAUUCCCGACAGAGGAUGCAUUUUUAGAGGUCAGGAGCGUUUUAAGCGGUGUUGAGAGCCGGGCCCUGUGCAAUAGAUACUUGUGAACCCCGUCAGGUCCGGAAGGAAGCAGCGGUAAGCAGGAAUUCUAUGUGCCGCAGGUCAACCUGGUUUGAGCUGGCUGAUUCGUUUCGCUCUACAGGUGUAUUCGACGAAGGGUGCACGA